GUGCUUCGAACGGUGCGCGUCGCUCCUGCUUUUCUCCGGAUUUUAUGCAAUGAAAUUAAUCAAUUUUGGACCAAUCAAUCGUUCCAUGACGCUUCCGCUCAGCUCGGCGGUGGCGCUGAUGGCUGAAACUGGGGGAUUUAAUCGACAGCAACUUCAGUCCGGUUUUCGGCAGCGAAGUGUGCGCAACCCAUCAUGCAUCGUUUAUUCCAGAAUCUCGUCAAUUCAUAUAGGAUUUUGAGCAACUUUAUAUUUGUGCGGAUUUUACGAAAUGCGCUAGGCAAUUGAGUGUCGUCAAUAGUCUACUGAAGUUUCCUCUCCUUAGUCGUUGAUCAGCAGACAAUUUUGUGAGGCUACUUCUAUUGGGGACACGACUUA
Nicrophorus vespilloides is the source of this 375-nucleotide long non-coding RNA. RefSeq lists it as uncharacterized. The record is from RefSeq and is a predicted model, not a curated record. The transcript is spliced from 3 exons. Lineage: Eukaryota; Metazoa; Arthropoda; Insecta; Coleoptera; Silphidae.